GACGAACGCUGGCGGCGUGCUUAACACAUGCAAGUCGAACGGAAAGGCCCUGCUUUUGUGGGGUGCUCGAGUGGCGAACGGGUGAGUAACACGUGAGUAACCUGCCCUUGAAUUUGGGAUAACUUCAGGAAACUGGGGCUCAUAUCGGAUAGGAGCUCCUGCUGCAUGGUGGGGGUUGGAAAGUUUCGGCGGUUGGGGAUGGACUCGCGGCUUAUCAGCUUGUUGGUGGGGUAGUGGCUUACCAAGGCUUUGACGGGUAGCCGGCCUGAGAGGGUGACCGGCCACAUUGGGACUGAGAUACGGCCCAGACUCCUACGGGAGGCAGCAGUGGGGAAUAUUGCACAAUGGGCGGAAGCCUGAUGCAGCAACGCCGCGUGCGGGAUGACGGCCUUCGGGUUGUAAACCGCUUUCGCCUGUGACGAAGCGUGAGUGACGGUAAUGGGUAAAGAAGCACCGGCUAACUACGUG
This 468-nucleotide ribosomal RNA is filed under the name uncultured bacterium. Its description in RNAcentral is "partial 16S ribosomal RNA". It matches the Rfam family "Bacterial small subunit ribosomal RNA", at positions 28 to 507 of the family's 1533-position model. The record is from RNAcentral.